Molecule: ribosomal RNA, 253 nt
Filed under: uncultured bacterium
Lineage: Bacteria
Description: partial 16S ribosomal RNA
Rfam family: Bacterial small subunit ribosomal RNA
Source: RNAcentral
UACGUAGGGGGCAAGCGUUGUCCGGAAUCAUUGGGCGUAAAGCGCGCGUAGGCGGCCCGGUAAGUCCGCUGUGAAAGUCGAGGGCUCAACCCUCGAAUGCCGGUGGAUACUGUCGGGCUUGAGUACGGGAGAGGCGAGUGGAAUUCCUGGUGUAGCGGUGAAAUGCGCAGAUAUCAGGAGGAACACCGAUUGCGAAGGCAGCUCGCUGGAACGUUACUGACGCUGAGACGCGAAAGCGUGGGGAGCAAACAGG